GACGAACGCUGGCGGCGUGCUUAACACAUGCAAGUCGAACGGAAAGGCCCCUUUGGGGGUACUCGAGUGGCGAACGGGUGCGUAACACGUGAGUAACCUGCCCUUGACUUCGGGAUAACUUCAGGAAACUGGGGCUAAUACCGGAUAGGAAUCCUUGCUGCAUGGUGGGGGUUGGAAAGCUUCGGCGGUUUUGGAUGGACUCGCGGCUUAUCAGCUUGUUGGUGGGGUAGUGGCUUACCAAGGCUUUGACGGGUAGCCGGCCUGAGAGGGCGACCGGCCACAUUGGGACUGAGAUACGGCCCAGACUCCUACGGGAGGCAGCAGGGGGGAAUAUUGCACAAUGGGCGGAAGCCUGAUGCAGCAACGCCGCGUGCGGGAGGACGGCCUUCGGGUUGUAAACCGCUUUCAGCAGGGGCGAAGCUUGUGGUGACGGUACCUGAAGAAGAAGCACCGGCUAACUACGUG
This 465-nucleotide ribosomal RNA is filed under the name uncultured bacterium. RNAcentral describes it as "partial 16S ribosomal RNA". It matches the Rfam family "Bacterial small subunit ribosomal RNA", at positions 28 to 507 of the family's 1533-position model. The record is from RNAcentral.